RNAcentral lists this transfer RNA (76 nucleotides) under Nelumbo nucifera (sacred lotus). It matches the Rfam family "tRNA". Rfam says of the family: Transfer RNA (tRNA) molecules are approximately 80 nucleotides in length. Their secondary structure includes four short double-helical elements and three loops (D, anti-codon, and T loops). Further hydrogen bonds mediate the characteristic L-shaped molecular structure. tRNAs have two regions of fundamental functional importance: the anti-codon, which is responsible for specific mRNA codon recognition, and the 3' end, to which the tRNAs corresponding amino acid is attached (by aminoacyl-tRNA synthetases). tRNAs cope with the degeneracy of the genetic code in two manners: having more than one tRNA (with a specific anti-codon) for a particular amino acid; and 'wobble' base-pairing, i.e. permitting non-standard base-pairing at the 3rd anti-codon position. Lineage: Eukaryota; Viridiplantae; Streptophyta; Magnoliopsida; Proteales; Nelumbonaceae. The record is from Rfam by way of RNAcentral.
GGGGAUGUAGCUCAAAUGGUAGAGCGCUCGCUUUAGUAUGCAAGGAGUGGUACAUGUUCGAUUCCCUGCAUCCCCA